AGAUCCAAGACGUUGGUGCAACUCUAGAAUUUAGUCCUUAUUUUUGGAACUUGAUUGCAAAUGUCUUAUAUCCAGAGUCACCAGCAGGUGUCUGCUUCUCCUACUCUGAUGACAAGAAGUAAACUACCAAUGACACAGAGCUUGUGGAAUGACCUGCAGAAAUUUUGCUGCAAAGAUGGAGUGUGUAACUUCUACAAUAACCAGGAUGUGAACUGCUUGUGUUGUCUCACUACAGUUCAAGUUAUAGUCUACCAGUCUGGACUGAACAUGUUUAACCUAUAAGGAGUUCAGCAGAGAGUCAGGUGAGCUUGGAUCAGUUAUGUGGAGUAACUGUUCAAUGUCAGUUCAUAUGCUAUGCUAAUAUUGCUCUUCUGUUCUGAAACCAGCAUUGAAAAUGGCCAGUUUGUGAUCCGAGACCUGGGCCAUCACUUCGUGAACCAUCCUUACUCCAAAGCACAGAACGAGGUAGAGAAACCAAUUCAUGUGCUGCUUUGGACUACAAACUUCACUCGAAACGAAAACCAAAACUGUCCCUCGCUCAUUACUAACCUCAGUUUGUUGUCUCAAAGCUGUAAACACAAGAUUAUGUUUUAGCUAUUUUGAUGCUCAUUUUCACACGAUGAAAGUUAUACUUUUGAUUUUAAUACAUUGAAUAUAUAUCGCCAUUCAUGGCAGCGCUUUCAUUUUAUUUGCAUAUUCAAAUUCUGCCUGGUU
This is a long non-coding RNA of Carassius carassius (crucian carp), 714 nucleotides long. RefSeq lists it as uncharacterized. The record is from RefSeq and is a predicted model, not a curated record. Lineage: Eukaryota; Metazoa; Chordata; Actinopteri; Cypriniformes; Cyprinidae. The transcript is spliced from 4 exons.